This 442-nucleotide ribosomal RNA is filed under the name uncultured bacterium. RNAcentral's name for it is "SSU rRNA". It matches the Rfam family "Bacterial small subunit ribosomal RNA", at positions 26 to 518 of the family's 1533-position model. The record is from RNAcentral.
AGAGCGAACGCUGGCGGCAGGCCUAACACAUGCAAGUCGAGCGGCCGUAGCAAUACGGCAGCGGCAGACGGGAGAGUAACACGUGGGAACGCGCCCUUCGGUUCGGAAUAACUCAGGGAAACUUGGGCUAAUACCGGAUACGCCCUUACGGGGAAAGAUUUAUUGCCGAAGGAACGGCCCGCGUCCGAUUAGCUAGUUGGUGAGGUAAUGGCUCACCAAGGCGACGAUCGUUAGCUGGUCUGAGAGGACGAUCAGCCACACUGGGACUGAGACACGGCCCAGACUCCUACGGGAGGCAGCAGUGGGGAAUAUGGACAAUGGGGGCAACCCUGAUCCAGCCAUGCCGCGUGAGUGAUGAAGGCCUUCGGGUUGUAAAGCUCUUUGGCGGGACGAGUGAUGACGGUACCGCAGAUAAGCCCGGCUAACUCGCGCCAGCAGCCGC